Molecule: transfer RNA, 60 nt
Filed under: Proasellus coxalis
Lineage: Eukaryota; Metazoa; Arthropoda; Malacostraca; Isopoda; Asellidae
Description: transfert RNA-L2(TTA)
Source: RNAcentral
UCUAUUGUAGUCAAACAAUGACAUAGGAUUUAAGCUCCUAAGGUGCUCUAGCCUUUAGAA